Raphanus sativus (radish) is the source of this 663-nucleotide long non-coding RNA. RefSeq lists it as uncharacterized. Lineage: Eukaryota; Viridiplantae; Streptophyta; Magnoliopsida; Brassicales; Brassicaceae. The transcript has 5 exons. The record is from RefSeq and is a predicted model, not a curated record.
AGAAUUAAAAUUCUGGUUAAUUAUUUAUUUGGGUUAAACAAGCUUAAAUCAUUAAUCAUCAAUGGUUUAGUAAACCGGGUAUACUUAUAUAUUAAUUAUAAGUAUUACUUUCUUCUUAAAACCUAAAAUAAAAAGAGAAGCAGCGCAGCCAUUCUUCAUCACCAGCAUCUCUGGCCAUCUCCACGUUCUUCUCUCUCUUAGCGGGUUCAACGAUCAUAAUUUACCUUCAUCUUCCUGGAGAGUUGUUCUGCAUAACACAUCUGAGACCAGUAUUGAGGAAAUUCGGGAAUGGAUUAUCAAAUCAUGGAAUUUUGAUGCCAAACUUUCGUGAACGAAUCCACAAACAGUCAACUUCAUAAACGUUUUCCCGUUUAUCCAGACUGACCUAGAAAACGUGCGAGAUACCAUUGGAAAGGUCUCGUUCUCAGCUUUCCGAAUCAUCAUUUAGAUCGUCAAACCGAGUUGACCGCAUCUUCCGUUGUUCAUCUCGGUCAGUGGCUAAGGUGAGACCGACGAGUAUGAGAUUGAUCGGACAACUGGUGUUUCUAGGCGUUUUCAUUUGUUUUAUUCUCAGACUUAUAUUUUAUUAUUUCUGGCGAUUAUUUCAGUACUUCAGUUACGGAGAUUUUAUGAUUAUUUAUUAUUAUUAUUUUUAUUAUUUAA